RNAcentral lists this unclassified non-coding RNA (482 nucleotides) under Salicornia virginica. RNAcentral describes it as "partial external transcribed spacer". Lineage: Eukaryota; Viridiplantae; Streptophyta; Magnoliopsida; Caryophyllales; Amaranthaceae. The record is from RNAcentral.
UGUAGGGGUGCAUGUAGGCACGAUCCUUGUGAUGCGGUACGUGAUGGUGUGUGAGUGGUAUUUGGUUUGUGUGGUUGGCGGGCUCUUUGCUUGUGCAUUGGACCGUUCACCAACAUGCCUUUUCAUUGUAUGCUGCAAGUGCACCAUUUUGCCUUGGGCGACGUGUGGUCCCUAUGUUGGAUUCCGAUUAACGGUAUUGUUGUUGUCCCUUUAAAGAGUGAUAUUCGCUCUACGGAGGUCGAGCGGACCAUGAAACUUGACUCGUUAUCCUCCUUGUUUUGUGAAAACAAGCAUGAUAGGGUUGGAUUAUGAUCUCAAGUUGGGCCCUAGGAUACAGAAAGUUGUGUGGGAGUUGAUGUUAAAACGUCGCAAACCCAAAGCGUUGUAAUGAUGGAUGACACUCGAGUGUGUUGUGAUUCUUUCGUUCUUGAAAGGUUCAUGCGCCCCGAUGUCAACCAAGGAGUGCUACCUGGUUGAUCCUG